Long non-coding RNA from Rhinopithecus roxellana (golden snub-nosed monkey), 728 nucleotides. RefSeq lists it as uncharacterized. Lineage: Eukaryota; Metazoa; Chordata; Mammalia; Primates; Cercopithecidae. The transcript is spliced from 3 exons. The record is from RefSeq and is a predicted model, not a curated record.
CAGACACUGACUUGCCUUGCAACUAGGGGGAUUUGAAUCACUCCUAAAGAAAAAUGUCCAUAAUUGGGUGAGGAUCAUACUGGGUUUGGUAACACCUGCAAAAAGCUGCAAGGCCUUCUUUUUAAAAGAAGAUGCUUUCUGAUGACUCCAGCCUCAUCCAGCUUGUGAUGCUACCAGGGAGCUGCCAAGACCUGGAGUACCCAACUAGCCUGGAAGAACUUGUCUGAAAACUUUGGUGGAGCUUUUCAGAAUUACAAGGCUCUAGAACAAGGUGGGGUGGAUCUCCCAGAGCUUGUACCUUGUACUUAAAAAUGAACGCUCCAACCGGCUUAUUUUCCAAAUGAGGCAUCCAGGGCUCGACGUGGUAAUGAACUUGUCUGAGAACACACUGUCAGCUAACACACCAUUUUUGUUUGAUGCCACACUUGUGACGUUUGGAACUAACAGAAAGCCUGCCUUCAAAGAAAAAGCUCUCCUGGCUCCUCUUCAGAGAAGGCUAUUCUCACACAAGGCUCACCUGUGAGGCUGCAGGACCAAGAGCUCCCUGGGUCCACAAACCAGACCUGCCUUUGCAGCCACUCCUGUUGGGGUUGUGGGUUACUGGCUGCACUGUGUUUUGGUGCAGAUUUUAAGGCAUAUUUUUAUAUACACAUUUUCUCAAAAGUCCAAAUUUGGUGUCAGGUUUUAUAUAUAGGUCACCAUAAUUUGUAUUACGUCCCCUCAUUCAA